AUAAUAGUGGCAGUAUCAUAACCAAUGAAGUUAAUCUGAGGUGUGAUUAUUGCUAGUUGAAAACUUUUCCCGCAAAUAGG
Chelonoidis abingdonii (Abingdon island giant tortoise) is the source of this 80-nucleotide small nuclear RNA. Its record names the gene U4. It matches the Rfam family "U4 spliceosomal RNA". From Rfam's summary of the family: U4 small nuclear RNA (U4 snRNA) is a component of the major U2-dependent spliceosome. The record is from Ensembl. NCBI's taxonomy places the organism in Eukaryota, Metazoa, Chordata, Testudines, Testudinidae.